RNAcentral lists this small RNA (414 nucleotides) under Pan troglodytes (chimpanzee). RNAcentral describes it as "retained intron". Lineage: Eukaryota; Metazoa; Chordata; Mammalia; Primates; Hominidae. The record is from RNAcentral.
GGGGGCGGGCGCACUGGUCCCGGAGUCGCCGCUGGGCCUGUCCGCCGGCGUCAUGGCACCCAAAAAGAAAGGGAAGAAAGGCAAAGCCAAAGGCACCCCGAUUGUCGAUGGGCUCGCUCCAGAGGACAUGAGCAAGGAGCAGGUGAGCAGAGCGGGCUGUGGCCCAGUACCUGGGUGGGCGUGGGCGGGCACCACGCAGGGUGCCUGCGCCGUGUGUCCAUCUUGCCAUGUGGAUCCACCCUUCUGUCCAAGCCAGAACACGCCCCCCACGUGGCCCAUAAUUCCCAUCAGCGGCAAAGCUUUCGGCUGCACCAUGUCUUUUCAGAAAGGUAGUGCAGCCUGUGAAAGCUUUGUAACAGGGUGGUAGGAAUGUGGAAGGACAUGUUUUUCUGAUCUAAAAGCUGUUUUUAAUUU